AGGCAUGUAGCUCAGUGGGAGAGCGCUUCCUUGACACGGAAGAGGUCGGCGGUUCAAUCCCGCCCAUGCCUACCA
Molecule: transfer RNA, 75 nt
Filed under: Deltaproteobacteria bacterium RIFCSPLOWO2_12_FULL_60_16
Lineage: Bacteria; Deltaproteobacteria
Also listed under: 4 other names
Description: tRNA-Val
Rfam family: tRNA
About the family: Transfer RNA (tRNA) molecules are approximately 80 nucleotides in length. Their secondary structure includes four short double-helical elements and three loops (D, anti-codon, and T loops).
Source: RNAcentral